Molecule: ribosomal RNA, 253 nt
Filed under: uncultured bacterium
Lineage: Bacteria
Description: partial 16S ribosomal RNA
Rfam family: Bacterial small subunit ribosomal RNA
Source: RNAcentral
UACGGAGGGUGCAAGCGUUGUCCGGAAUCACUGGGCGUAAAGCGCGCGUAGGCGGCUUUGCAAGUCGAGUGUGAAAUCCCCAGGCUUAACCUGGGAACUGCAUUCGAGACUGCAUGGCUAGAGUAUGGGAGAGGGAAGUGGAAUUUCAGGUGUAGCGGUGAAAUGCGUAGAUAUCAGGAGGAACACCGGUGGCGAAGGCGGGUCUCUGGGCAACUACUGACGCUGAGGAGCGAAAGCGUGGGGAGCGAACAGG